GUGGGGAAUUUUGGACAAUGGGGGCAACCCUGAUCCAGCCAUGCCGCGUGCGGGAAGAAGGCCUUCGGGUUGUAAACCGCUUUUGUCAGGGAAGAAAUCCUUUGGGUUAAUACCUCGGAGGGAUGACGGUACCUGAAGAAUAAGCACCGGCUAACUACGUGCCAGCAGCCGCGGUAAUACGUAGGGUGCGAGCGUUAAUCGGAAUUACUGGGCGUAAAGCGUGCGCAGGCGGUUUUGUAAGAUCGAUGUGAAAUCCCCGGGCUCAACCUGGGAACUGCAUUGGUGACUGCAAGGCUGGAGUGCGGCAGAGGGGGAUGGAAUUCCGCGUGUAGCAGUGAAAUGCGUAGAUAUGCGGAGGAACACCGAUGGCGAAGGCAAUCCCCUGGGCCUGCACUGACGCUCAUGCACGAAAGCGUGGGGAUCAAACAGGAUUAGAUACCCGAGUAGUCC
RNAcentral lists this ribosomal RNA (450 nucleotides) under uncultured bacterium. RNAcentral describes it as "partial 16S ribosomal RNA". It matches the Rfam family "Bacterial small subunit ribosomal RNA", at positions 354 to 796 of the family's 1533-position model. The record is from RNAcentral.